UGGCGCUUGAUUUCAACGCUGA
Molecule: microRNA, 22 nt
Filed under: Echinococcus granulosus
Lineage: Eukaryota; Metazoa; Platyhelminthes; Cestoda; Cyclophyllidea; Taeniidae
Description: egr-miR-10229b-5p
Source: miRBase by way of RNAcentral